GUGCUCACUUCAGCAGCACAUAUACUAAAAAUUGGAAUGAUACAGAGAAGAUUAGCAUGGCCCCUGAGCAAGGAUGACACACAAAUAUGUGAAGCGUUCCAUAUUUUU
Meriones unguiculatus (Mongolian gerbil) is the source of this 108-nucleotide small nuclear RNA. The record is from RefSeq and is a predicted model, not a curated record. NCBI's taxonomy places the organism in Eukaryota, Metazoa, Chordata, Mammalia, Rodentia, Muridae.